AUACUCUGGUUUUUCUUCAAAACGCAUAAAUCUUUCGCCUUUUACUAAAGAUUUCCGUGGAGAGAAACAAUUCUGAGUCUUGCCAAUUUUUUGAGGCCUUGCUUUGGGCAAGGCU
Small nuclear RNA from Zalophus californianus (California sea lion), 115 nucleotides. Its record names the gene U5. It matches the Rfam family "U5 spliceosomal RNA". From Rfam's summary of the family: U5 RNA is a component of both types of known spliceosome. Lineage: Eukaryota; Metazoa; Chordata; Mammalia; Carnivora; Otariidae. The record is from Ensembl.